Molecule: long non-coding RNA, 1693 nt
Organism: Pezoporus flaviventris
Lineage: Eukaryota; Metazoa; Chordata; Aves; Psittaciformes; Psittacidae
Exons: 3
Source: RefSeq, a predicted model, not a curated record
AGAGACUGUCGAGGUUCGCUUCUCAGCGCUUCCCCCCUACUCCGGCCGCCUUUCGCCGUUAUUUCGGGGAGAUGGAGGCACAGACCCUGCAGGUCCCGACAUAGGACGCUCUCCCGCUGCGGCGGUGCUGCCUGGGUUGGCGUGGGGCGCUCCCGCGGAGAAGCCGCCCGCCCGCGAUCGGGGGGUCUGCAACAAGCAAAAUAGAGUGCCAAGAUAGGAGGGUAUGUGCUGAUCCCUAGAGCUCUCCUUCAAGGUCUUUCCAUCAGUUCACUGAAAUACCUCCAGGAAGCCUAAGGCCACGUCAUCAAUGCCUUCAACACAGUGCUUCAGUUUGGGCAUUUUGCCCUAGCUGCUACUGCUUCAGGGAGACAUACUUCCAGGCACACACAGAGUGAGGCAGGACCGAACUGAGAGCAGACACUCCUACAUGCAGGAAUCUGGUGGUUUGUUUUUAUGUAACUGUCUGGUGCCUCUGUCUAUUUGAAGCAUUAGUUGUUUAUGCUUUCCUUCAGUGAGCAAAAAGAUAAGAGAGUUUGGAUUUAGUUUUUUACAGUUUAAAAGUAAAUUUCAAGAUUUUAAAGAAGCCUGUAGAAGUUAAGAUUUCAUUCAUCUUGCCAUUAAAAAAAAGUAUUUCUGUCCAAAACGCUUACAGCAAGCAUCCAUUUCAGGUUUUUUCCUACAGGGAAGAGAAGCCAAACUGCAGGUUACAGACCCUCUGGGGACAGCAUUUGAGAUGCAGGAGGAGAAAACCUGUUUUUUUUUUCUCCCUGAUUUCUGUCCACAGAAGGGCUAGGAAGCGGCGGAACAGAAAGGCCUCAUAUCAGGUGGAGAUAAUCCCUGCCACAGAAGUUCCCUGCUUCCCAGACAAGCUUCCCCAACAGCUUGCUUUGGCUGCAUGCUUCCAGCUACUCAUGGCUCCUUACAGCUGGAGGUUAGGCAAGGCAGCCUAACACUGAAGGUUAAGCUAACUCAAGGAUGUAUAUUUACUAAACAGAUCAUGUCAGGUAGGGUACACGAAACUAGCCCCAGAUCAUCUCAUGCUAGCUAACAAGCUUCUAACAAGCACAACCUGCCCCCUGAUAUUUAAAGAGAGAAAUUAAAACUAAUUUAGGAACACCAGGAACAGCCCCAAAGCAACUUCAGACCCAGUUGUAAGCACAAAUAACCUCAAUCCCACAAAGGGAGUACUUACCACCACCAUCACCCUAAUGAAACCAGUACCCCAAACCUACCCUCAAGUGCCUUAUCCAGUUUUUAUAAUGUAACCACCUCAUGGGAGAGAAGAAAGACACUCAUUAAGGGGCUCAGAGCAGAGUAAUUGGCUUUUAUUGGUCCAGUUAACAUUAAUAGGUCCUUUUAAGAAGGUGAAAAACUCCUCUAAAAGGAAAGGUAAUGGGGAACCUGGUGAGGAAAGACACAGUCAUGCAGUGUGUCUAGAAAGGGAAUUGCUGAUACUUGGGCUUGUGUAAUAGUGUUCAUACCCUGUUGUCUCAGUGCUGAGGUGUGCUGAGGCAUCUUUUUAUUAUCUCUGAAGGCCAAAGGGGGAAGAGCGUUGCAUAUUUUACCCAGCCCUUGUGCCACUGCUUUAUUAGUAUUAAGUUUUUCUGAUGCAUCUCAUUACAAGAUAUAUUUGUGCUUAACCAUUGUCUGUGUUACAUAUUCUGUGACUGACCUCCUCUUGCUGUAGAACAUC